UGGAGAGGACAACAAGAAAACCAAAGAUAAAAGCUAAGGAUCCAUUGAGCAUGCUACAAGGCCCAAUUACAAGGUCAAAGUCCAAGAAGCUACAAGAAGCCUUAAUUGGCUAUAUGCAAGAUCGGGCUAGUCAAGGAAGCCCAAUUGGUCAUGUUAGGAUAGGCCCAAGUAAAGACACAUCUGAAUGGGCUUUAUUUAAUGUUUUGCAAGUCCAAAUACAUGAAGACUAAUGUGGGCUAAUAUUUGAGCUGAAAUCUCUUUUUUAAGUUCAGAACAAUGUUAUUGCCUAUUUUUCUUAUGUGGCAGCUA
Molecule: long non-coding RNA, 309 nt
Filed under: Ricinus communis (castor bean)
Lineage: Eukaryota; Viridiplantae; Streptophyta; Magnoliopsida; Malpighiales; Euphorbiaceae
Description: long non-coding RNA (RCOM_LNC003757)
Source: RNAcentral